This 1007-nucleotide ribosomal RNA is filed under the name human gut metagenome. RNAcentral's name for it is "bacterial LSU rRNA". It matches the Rfam family "Bacterial large subunit ribosomal RNA", at positions 1923 to 2925 of the family's 2925-position model. The record is from RNAcentral.
GUAAACGGCGGCCGUAACUAUAACGGUCCUAAGGUAGCGAAAUUCCUUGUCGGGUAAGUUCCGACCUGCACGAAUGGCAUAAUGAUGGCCACACUGUCUCCUCCCGAGACUCAGUGAAGUUGAAAUGUUUGUGAUGAUGCAAUCUCCCCGCGGCUAGACGGUAAGACCCCAUGAACCUUUACUGUAGCUUUGCAUUGGACUUUGAACCGAUUUGUGUAGGAUAGGCGGGAGGCAGAGAAAGCGCAACGCCAGUUGUGCCGGAGCCGACGUUGAAAUACCGCCCUGAUUUGUUUGAGGUUCUAACCGCGACCCGUAAGCCGGGUCCGGGACCGUGCAUGGCAGGCAGUUUGACUGGGGCGGUCUCCUCCUAAAGGGUAACGGAGGAGUACAAAGGUACGCUAGGUACGGUCGGAAAUCGUGCUGAUAGUGCAAAGGCAAAAGCGUGCUUGACUGCGAGACCGACAAGUCGAGCAGAUGCGAAAGCAGGUCUUAGUGAUCCGGUGGCUCUGUAUGGAAGGGCCAUCGCUCAACGGAUAAAAGGUACUCUGGGGAUAACAGGCUGAUACCGCCCAAGAGUUCAUAUCGACGGCGGUGUUUGGCACCUCGAUGUCGGCUCAUCUCAUCCUGGGGCUGUAGCCGGUCCCAAGGGUAUGGCUGUUCGCCAUUUAAAGAGGUACGUGAGCUGGGUUUAAAACGUCGUGAGACAGUUUGGUCCCUAUCUGCCGUGGGCGCUGGAAGAUUGACGGGGGCUGCUCCUAGUACGAGAGGACCGGAGUGGACGCACCUCUGGUGUACCGGUUGUCACGCCAGUGGCAUCGCCGGGUAGCUAUGUGCGGAAGAGAUAACCGCUGAAAGCAUCUAAGCGGGAAACUUGCCUGAAGAUAAGUCUUCCCGGAGGCUAGACCUCCCUGAAGAGUCGUUCGAGACCAGGACGUUGAUAGGUCGGGUGUGUAAGCGUUGUGAGACGUUUAGCUAACCGAUACUAAUUGCUCGUGAGGCUUGAUCCU